RNAcentral lists this non-coding RNA (144 nucleotides) under Acidipropionibacterium acidipropionici. RNAcentral's name for it is "FMN sequence". It matches the Rfam family "FMN riboswitch aptamer (RFN element)". Rfam says of the family: The RFN element is a highly conserved domain that is found frequently in the 5'-untranslated regions of prokaryotic mRNAs that encode for flavin mononucleotide (FMN) biosynthesis and transport proteins. This element is a metabolite-dependent riboswitch that directly binds FMN in the absence of proteins. In Bacillus subtilis, the riboswitch most likely controls gene expression by causing premature transcription termination within the 5' untranslated region of the ribDEAHT operon and precluding access to the ribosome-binding site of ypaA mRNA. The record is from RNAcentral. Lineage: Bacteria; Bacillati; Actinomycetota; Actinomycetes; Propionibacteriales; Propionibacteriaceae.
CACGUGCUCCGGGGUCGGUGAAAAUCCGAACCGGCGGUGACAGUCCGCGAACCGUCUUCUCAGGGGAACAAUCCCCGGCAGGGGCGGCCGAACCGGUGGAAAUCCGGUACCGACGGUGAAAGUCCGGAUGGGAGGCAGCACGGG